CGCGAAUAGCUCAUUACAACAGCCAUCGUUUAAUGGAUAUAUUUUUACAUGGAUAACUGUGGUAAUUCUACAGCUAAUACACGCAUCAAAACCCAACCUUACGGUGGGGUGCGUUUGUUACUUCAAACCAAUCGGACUUCGGUCUGAAAUCAAGUGAUAUUGAACAAUUUAGCUGAUCGCACGGUCUGAGAACCGGCGACAUAUCCUUCAAAUGUCUGCCUUAUCAACUUUCGAUGGUAGAUUACGCGCCUACCAUGGUUGUAACGGGUAACGGAGAAUCAGGGUUUGAUUCCGGAGAGGGAGCCUGAGAAACGGCUACCACAUCCAAGGAAGGCAGCAGGC
Molecule: ribosomal RNA, 342 nt
Filed under: Viscosia viscosa
Lineage: Eukaryota; Metazoa; Nematoda; Enoplea; Enoplida; Oncholaimidae
Description: SSU rRNA
Rfam family: Eukaryotic small subunit ribosomal RNA
Source: RNAcentral